RNAcentral lists this ribosomal RNA (570 nucleotides) under Pleosporaceae sp. N50. Its description in RNAcentral is "eukaryotic LSU rRNA". The stretch from base 198 to 351 matches the Rfam family "5.8S ribosomal RNA". The record is from RNAcentral. Lineage: Eukaryota; Fungi; Ascomycota; Dothideomycetes; Pleosporales; Pleosporaceae.
CGUAGGUGACCUGCGGAGGGAUCAUUACACAAUAAAAUAUGAAGGCCUGGCUUCGCGGCCGGCUGAAAUAUUUUUUCACCCAUGUCUUUUGCGCACUUGUUGUUUCCUGGGCGGGUUCGCCCGCCACCAGGACCAAACCAUAAACCUUUUUCUUAUGCAGUUUCCAUCAGCGUCAGUAAAAACAAUGUAAUAAUUACAACUUUCAACAACGGAUCUCUUGGUUCUGGCAUCGAUGAAGAACGCAGCGAAAUGCGAUACGUAGUGUGAAUUGCAGAAUUCAGUGAAUCAUCGAAUCUUUGAACGCACAUUGCGCCCUUUGGUAUUCCAAAGGGCAUGCCUGUUCGAGCGUCAUUUGUACCUUCAAGCUUUGCUUGGUGUUGGGCGUUUUUGUCUCCCUCUUUCUGGGAGACUCGCCUUAAAACGAUUGGCAGCCGGCCUACUGGUUUCGGAGCGCAGCACAUUUUUUGCGCUUUGUAUCAGGAGAAAAGGACGGUACUCCAUCAAGACUUUUACAAUUUUAACUUUUGACCUCGGAUCAGGUAGGGAUACCCGCUGAACUUAAGCAUAUCA